This 1974-nucleotide ribosomal RNA is filed under the name human gut metagenome. RNAcentral describes it as "bacterial LSU rRNA". It matches the Rfam family "Bacterial large subunit ribosomal RNA", at positions 1 to 1990 of the family's 2925-position model. The record is from RNAcentral.
GUGAACAACCAAGGGCGCGCGGUGGAUGCCUAGGCUCUCGGAGGCGAUGAAGGACGCGAUAAGCCGCGAUAGGCCACGGCGAGGUGCAAGUAACCCUUGACCCGUGGAUUUCCGAAUGGGGCAACCCGGCCGUCUAGAUGACGGUCAUGCAUUAAUGCAAGCGAACGCGGGGAACUGAAACAUCUCAUUACCCGCAGGAGAAGAAAACAACAUGUGAUUCCCCCAGUAGUGGCGAGCGAACGGGGAAGAGCCCAAACCGUUGCCGUUUCGGCGACAGCGGGGUCAUGGGACCGCGACAUUCGACGUGAGACGAAGUGCAAUUACCUGGAAAGGUAAGCCGUGGAGGGUGACAGCCCCGUGCACGACACCUCUCACGAAGAUAGCGGUAUCCCGAGUAGGGCGGGACACGAGAAAUCCUGCCUGAAUUCGCCAGGACCUCCUGGCAAGGCUAAAUACUCCCGAGAGACCGAUAGUGAACCAGUACCGCGAGGGAAAGGUGAAAAGUACCCCGAGCAGGGGGGUGAAAUAGACCCUGAACCCGCGCGCCUACAAGCGGUCGGAGCCGAGUAAUUCGGUGACGGCGUGCCUUUUGCAUAAUGAGCCUACGAGUUAGUCGUCACCAGCGAGGUUAAGGGCUUCAGGCCCGUUAGCCGAAGUGAAAGCGAGCCUUAACAGGGCGUCGAGUUGGUGGCGCUAGACGCGAAACCUUGUGAUCUACCCACGAGCAGGUUGAAGUCGCGGUAACACGUGAUGGAGGACCGAACCGGUAAACGUUGAAAAGUUUUCGGAUGACUCGCGGGUAGGGGUGAAAGGCCAAUCAAACUGGGAAAUAGCUCGUACUCUCCGAAAUGCAUUUCGGUGCAGCCUGUGAUGUUCUGUUCCAGAGGUAGAGCUACUGGUUGGACGCGAGGGCUUCACCGCCUAUCAAAUCCGGAUAAACUCCGAAUGCUGGAACACGAAAUCAUGGAGUGAGCCCGCGGGUGCUAAGGUCCGCGGACGAGAGGGAAAGAACCCGGACCACCGGCUAAGGUCCCGGAUGGACAGUUAAGUUGAUCAAACGAGGUGGGAUCGCUGAGACAGCUAGGAUGUUGGCUUGGAAGCAGCCAUUCAUUUAAAGAGUGCGUAACAGCUCACUAGUCGAGCGAUCCCGCGUGGAUAAUACACGGGCAUGAAACUGUCAACCGAAGCCGUGGGGUCAGUGAAGAACUGACCGGUAGGAGAGCAUUCCUGCCAGCUUUGAAGGUCACCCGCGAGAGUGACUGGAGCGGCAUGAAAAGCAAAUGUAGGCAUAAGUAACGAUAAUGGGGGCGAGAACCCCCCACGCCGCAAGACCAAGGAUUCCCCGGCAAUGUCAAUCAGCCGGGGGUCAGCCGGCCUCUAAGGCUCACCCGAGGGGGGAUGCCGACGAGAAACGGGUUAACAUUCCCGUGCUUCUCGUCACCGUGACGCGGUGACGGGGUGAUGAAUGGACCGCGCGCUGACGGAAUAGCGCGUUGAAGGCCGUACCCGAUGACGGUGGUAGUCAAGCACGCCACCGGAGGCGAGAGCCGAUAGUACCACGAGACUCCGGUCGAGUGGAUAGCGUCCAGGCAAUUUACCCCCUAGAAAACCCGCUAAACUUCAAGUGACGAGGAACCGUACUGUAAACGGACACACGUGGUCGGGUAGAACAUACCAAGGCGCUCGAGUGAUUCAUGGUCAAGGAACUAGGCAAAAUAGUCCUGUAACUUCGGGAAAAAGGACGCUCUAGUGAUAGAGCCGCAGAGUAAUGGCCCAGGCGACUGUUUACCAAAAACACAUGGCUAUGCCAAAUCGAAAGAUGACGUAUAUGGCCUGACACCUGCCCGGUGCCGGAAGGUUAAGAGGAGAGCUCAUCCGCGAGGAGAAGGUUUGAAUUGAAGCCCCGGUAAACGGCGGCCGUAACUAUAACGGUCCUAAGGUAGCGAAAUUCCUUGUCGGGUAAGUUCCGACCUG